AGCAGUAGCCGCGGGAAGACGUAGGGAGCAAGCGUUGUCCGGAAUUACUGGGCGUAAAGAGCUCGUAGGCGGGAGCGUAAGUCUGAAAUGAAAUUCCAAGGCUCAACUUUGGGGCUAUUUCAGAUACUGCGUUUCUUGAGUAUAUCAGAGGAUAGUAGAAUUCCCGGUGUAGCGGUGAAAUGCGUAGAUAUCGGGAGGAAUACCAGUGGCGAAGGCGACUGUCUGGGAUAUUACUGACGCUGAGGAGCGAAAGCGUGGGGAGCAAACGGGAUUAGAUACCCGAGUAGUCCCUGUCUCUUAUAA
This 303-nucleotide ribosomal RNA is filed under the name uncultured bacterium. Its description in RNAcentral is "partial 16S ribosomal RNA". It matches the Rfam family "Bacterial small subunit ribosomal RNA", at positions 507 to 809 of the family's 1533-position model. The record is from RNAcentral.